Mesocricetus auratus (golden hamster) is the source of this 527-nucleotide long non-coding RNA. RefSeq lists it as uncharacterized. The record is from RefSeq and is a predicted model, not a curated record. Lineage: Eukaryota; Metazoa; Chordata; Mammalia; Rodentia; Cricetidae. The transcript is spliced from 2 exons.
UCUCAUUUUUUAUAGGUAUCACAUCCAGGAGACACCAGAAUGGAAGCCCUAGGCAAAGAGACAGACUUCCAUUCUCUGCCCACCCAAGGGCCUUGCGGAUCUGUUGACGAACCAGCUCGCUGGUAUCUGGCCCGUAGAGGAAGGAGCAGGCACAGCCCCGCUGCAUGACCUCAGCCCUGGAGAAGCCCGUGAGGUCACAGAAGCCAUCAGAGCAGUAGACCACAGGGAAGAGCCCUGCCACCUGGGCGUUGCCCAGCACGAAGUUACUGUCUGCAAGAGAACGCCUCUCAGAAGAGAGCAUGAACUGAAGGGCACCUUCACCUACCAGCCUGCGUCUCAAAACACCCUCGAAACCCACCGAAGGGUGGGCUUUCAUGCCCCAGGGGUGUUGUGUGUACUGGCCAAGACCUGUUUAUGAAUGAAGCAUGUCUGCUAGUCAGUCAGUAUCCCCAAGGGUCAGCUCCCAGCUGAAUAUGUCUGAGUGUGUUUGAGGAUCAGCAUACGUCAAUGCAGCGUGUUACAUGCAA